RNAcentral lists this ribosomal RNA (224 nucleotides) under [Epidermophyton] stockdaleae. RNAcentral's name for it is "partial 28S ribosomal RNA". It matches the Rfam family "Eukaryotic large subunit ribosomal RNA", at positions 1620 to 1844 of the family's 3401-position model. The record is from RNAcentral. Lineage: Eukaryota; Fungi; Ascomycota; Eurotiomycetes; Onygenales; Arthrodermataceae.
GGCACCUGGAUGUGGAUUCUCCACGGCAACGUAACUGAACGCGGAGACGUCGGCGGGGGUCCUGGGAAGAGUUAUCUUUUCUUCUUGACGGCCUAUCACCCUGAAAUCGGUUUGUCCGGAGCUAGGGUUCAAUGGCCGGCAGAGCCCCGCACCUUUGCGGGGUCCGGUGCGCCCCCGACGACCCUUGAAAAUCCGCGGGAAGGAAUAGUUUUCACGCCAGGUCG